CACCUUCUUACUCAUGCCGGUGCCCGUUCGCGGGCGAAGAGGGAAUGCGGUGCGGACGCCUCGGCGUCCAACGCCGCAGCUGCCCCUGCAACUGUAAGCGGAGAGCGGUCGGGCAAAGACCAUUGGAAGCGAUUCCGAGAAGGCGCCCGCACCGCUGCGACCCGCAAGCCAGGAGACCUGCCGGCACGGGGUCGCUCAC
This 199-nucleotide non-coding RNA is filed under the name Sphingomonas sp. Lineage: Bacteria; Pseudomonadati; Pseudomonadota; Alphaproteobacteria; Sphingomonadales; Sphingomonadaceae. The record is from RNAcentral.